UUUAUUGGUUAUAAAAAUCAAUAUAUUUCAAACAGAAUGAAGAAAAUCAAGAUGUUUAGCGAUAACUACAAUGCAAGCCUUUCACAGAUGCCACCCGGCUUGGAGCCUAAUCUGCUUGCGUGCCGGGCUUGCCUCGCCACCGACACCAAACUGUACAAUCUUGCUGGUGUUCUGAAGGAAACAUAUGAAUAUCUGACGGGUAUGCCGGUGUGACGAACAGACAGGCUGCCGCAGCACGUGUGCGGCUGCUGCGGAACGUUACUGAACAAAUAUAGGUCUUUUAAGCAGCGCUGCGGCACCACGCACCGCCUCAUGGGGGAUAUACUACAGCACUGUGCG
Long non-coding RNA from Cydia strobilella, 339 nucleotides. RefSeq lists it as uncharacterized. NCBI's taxonomy places the organism in Eukaryota, Metazoa, Arthropoda, Insecta, Lepidoptera, Tortricidae. The record is from RefSeq and is a predicted model, not a curated record. The transcript is spliced from 3 exons.